ACCGGCUGCCUGACAGCAGCCGGUCUGCAGAAUUGCCUGACGACCAUAGCGUGCCGGUCCCACCCGAUCCCAUCCCGAACUCGGCAGUGAAACGGUUCCGCGCCGAUGGUAGUGUGGGGUCUCCCCAUGUGAGAGUAGGUCAUCGUCAGGC
RNAcentral lists this ribosomal RNA (151 nucleotides) under Kushneria avicenniae. The record is from RNAcentral. Lineage: Bacteria; Pseudomonadati; Pseudomonadota; Gammaproteobacteria; Oceanospirillales; Halomonadaceae.